This 892-nucleotide ribosomal RNA is filed under the name uncultured bacterium. RNAcentral describes it as "bacterial SSU rRNA". It matches the Rfam family "Bacterial small subunit ribosomal RNA", at positions 90 to 990 of the family's 1533-position model. The record is from RNAcentral.
GACCCACGGCAAACGGGUGCGUAACACAUUGGUAACCUACCUCGAGGUCGUGAAUAACUCGGCGAAAGCCGAGGUAAUACACGAUGGACAAGGGGGGACAUAAGUCAUUCCCUUGUAAAGAUUUAUCGCCUCGAGAGGGGCCUAUGCCCUAUCAGCUAGUUGGAGAGGUAAUGGCUCACCAAGGCUUUGACGGGUAGGGGGCGUAAGAGCGCGACCCCCCUCACUGGGACUGAGACACUGCCCAGACACCUACGGGUGGCUGCAGUCGAGAAUAUUCCUCAAUGCACGAAAGUGUGAAGGAGCGACGCCGCGUGCCAGAUGAAGCCCUUCGGGGUGUAAAUGGCUUUUUUCAGGGACGAAUUCUGACGGUACCUGAAGAAUAAGUGGUUGCUAACUCUGUGCCAGCAGCAGCGGUAAUACAGAGACCACGAGCGUUAUCCGGAUUUAUUGGGCGUAAAGCGUCCGCAGGUGGUUAUGAAAGUCAUUUGUGAAACCGUUGGGCUCAACCCAACGUGCGCAGGUGAUACUUCAUGACUCGAGGCCGGGAGAGGCACAUGGAAUUGCUGGUGUAGCGGUAAAAUGCGUUAAUAUCAGCAAGAACACCAAAGGCGAAGGCAGUGUGCUAGAACGGUCCUGACACUCAUGGACGAAAGCGUGGGUAGCGAAUGAGAUUAGAUACCUCAGUAGUCCACGCCCUAAACGAUGAAUGCUAGAUUUUGGGAGUAUCGACCCUCCCAGAGUCGGUUAACCAAGCUAACGCGUUAAGCAUUCCGCCUAUGGAGUACGGCCGCAAGGCUAAAACACAAAGGAAUAGACGGGGACCCGCACAAGCGGUGGAGCAUAUGGUUUAAUUCGACGGUAAGCGAGUAACCUUACCUGGGCUCAACUACUA